Molecule: transfer RNA, 77 nt
Filed under: Terriglobia bacterium
Lineage: Bacteria; Pseudomonadati; Acidobacteriota; Terriglobia
Also listed under: 1 other name
Description: tRNA-Arg
Rfam family: tRNA
About the family: Transfer RNA (tRNA) molecules are approximately 80 nucleotides in length. Their secondary structure includes four short double-helical elements and three loops (D, anti-codon, and T loops).
Source: RNAcentral
GGCCCUGUAGCUCAGAUGGAUAGAGCAGCGGUUUCCUAAACCGCUUGUCGGCAGUUCGAAUCUGCCCAGGGCCUCCA